This 378-nucleotide unclassified non-coding RNA is filed under the name plant metagenome. Its description in RNAcentral is "partial contains 5.8S ribosomal RNA, internal transcribed spacer 2, and large subunit ribosomal RNA". The stretch from base 1 to 105 matches the Rfam family "5.8S ribosomal RNA", at positions 50 to 154 of the family's 154-position model. The record is from RNAcentral.
GAAAUGCGAUAAGUAAUGUGAAUUACAGAAUUCAGUGAAUCAUCGAAUCUUUGAACGCACCUUGCGCUCCUUGGUAUUCCUUGGAGCAUGCCUGUUUGAGUAUCAUGAAAUCUUCAAAGUAAAUCUUUUGUUAACUCAAUUGGUUUCUACUUUGGUAUUGGAGGUCUUUGCAGCUUCACACCUGCUCCUCUUUGUUCAUUAGCUGGAUCUCAGUGUUAUGCUUGGUUCCACUCGGCGUGAUAAGUUAUCUAUCGCUGAGGACACUGUAAAAGGUGGCCAAGGUAAAUGCAGAUGAACCGCUUCUAAUAGUCCAUUGACUUGGACAAUACUUUUAUGAUCUGAUCUCAAAUCAGGUAGGACUACCCGCUGAACUUAAGC